Molecule: ribosomal RNA, 253 nt
Filed under: uncultured bacterium
Lineage: Bacteria
Description: partial 16S ribosomal RNA
Rfam family: Bacterial small subunit ribosomal RNA
Source: RNAcentral
UACGUAGGGGGCAAGCGUUGUCCGGAUUUAUUGGGCGUAAAGAGCGUGUAGGCGGCCUGGUAGGUCAGCUGUGAAAACUCGAGGCUCAACCUCGAGACGCCGGUUGAAACCAUCAGGCUAGAGUCCGGAAGAGGAGAGUGGAAUUCCUGGUGUAGCGGUGGAAUGCGCAGAUAUCAGGAGGAACACCGGUGGCGAAGGCGGGUCUCUGGGCAGUAACUGACGCUGAGGAGCGAAAGCGUGGGGAGCGAACAGG